CCUACGGGAGGCAGCAGUAGGGAAUCUUCCACAAUGGACGAAAGUCUGAUGGAGCAACGCCGCGUGAGUGAAGAAGGGUUUCGGCUCGUAAAGCUCUGUUGGUAGUGAAGAAAGAUAGAGGUAGUAACUGGCCUUUAUUUGACGGUAGUUACUUAGAAAGUCACGGCUAACUACGUGCCAGCAGCCGCGGUAAUA
Molecule: ribosomal RNA, 195 nt
Filed under: uncultured bacterium
Lineage: Bacteria
Description: partial 16S ribosomal RNA
Rfam family: Bacterial small subunit ribosomal RNA
Source: RNAcentral